RNAcentral lists this transfer RNA (66 nucleotides) under Pnyxia scabiei. Its description in RNAcentral is "tRNA-Ile". The record is from RNAcentral. Lineage: Eukaryota; Metazoa; Arthropoda; Insecta; Diptera; Sciaridae.
AAUAAAUUGCCUGAUUAAAGGAUUACUUUGAUGUAGUAAAUUAAAUAAUUAAAAUUAUAUUUAUUA